RNAcentral lists this long non-coding RNA (2914 nucleotides) under Octopus vulgaris (common octopus). The record is from RNAcentral. Lineage: Eukaryota; Metazoa; Mollusca; Cephalopoda; Octopoda; Octopodidae.
UAAAAUAAAACAGUAAAAAGGUAUGAAACGCAAUAUUAAUUGUCUAUUCUUAACGAACAAAUGAAAUAUUAAUUGUCCAUUCUUAUUGGACUAGUAUACUUUCUUGCAUUUAUGCAAUCUUCAGGUUCAUAUGGUUUUGGUAACGGUCAUGUUCAUUGGUUUCAACUGCACUAUUUUUUAUUCACCAUACGAGUUUAGACAGAGAGGACACUACAAUACAUUGGGGACACUACAACACAUUUUUUGUGUUCAUAUAUGGGCCAGUAUGAAAUUCGUGGAAGCAUUGUAUGUUGGACAUUGGCCCCAAGAAUAUAGCUACUCUGCCAAAAAUGAAGGAUCAGUCAAGAAGUACUGAACGUGGGUCUAAGAAGAUGCGUUCCUUUCGUAUUGUCCAAAGCGACUUUAUGUCCGCACCAGGACAGAAUUGUUCAGCUCCUGCUUUUAAUAGCAUUUCUGAAGUUUAAGGUAGUAUUGUUAAAUAUUUAGCAGCAAAUACAAAGAACAACUUAUUUUAUUUGGAUAUUUUUGGAGAAAUUCUUUAACAUAAUUAAAGUUCUCUUCCUCCAUUUUCUUCCUAAUCUUAUCAAACCUGCAUAAUUCAUAAAUGAUAAACACUAGAACCACACUCGCCGGUUGUUGCUUGUCUAUAUUUCACUGGGCAUCUUUAGAUUGCUUUGAUUCAAUUCAAUUUUUAUUGGUUCAGAAAGCAAAAGCAAGGCCAUGUAGUGGGACAGGGAGGGUGGUCAUACAAAGAGUUCAGGCCAUUUCUGGUCAAGGGAGACUUUGAACCGAGCGGUCGUCGGCAUCUUCACUAUCUCAUCUGGCAGCUUAUUUCAUGGAUCCGCAGUUCUCCUUAUCUUAUCCAGCUGCAGAAGUGAAUAAUUCGUAAAUGAUAAACAACAGAACUGCACUCGCCGGUUGUUGCUUGUCUAUAUUUCACUUCUCUUUUGCUUUUAGCAAAGCAUUAGAAGUAGAAGGAAGCUAAAAUGAUCCGACAAAGAGCUUAUAUAAUGAAUCACACUUAAACACAAACCGCUUGGAUUGUUUGAGUUCCUUUGUUUAAUGUUUCGUGGCAUCAUUUCUUUGACCUGCAACAAGGUCACAUUUUGCGUCACUCUAAAGCAGAAAAUGUUAUUGCUUCUGGAUGUGUUUUUAUUCCAUUUGUAACAUCUUCAAUGUCACGUUUGAUUUCUUGGAUGUCAUUAGAGUAAAAUAUUUGCCAGCCAAUACAAAGAGCAUCUUUGGAGGAUUUGGGAUAAAAUUAAGUCAUGUCAAUACCUGGUAUCUCUGAGUCUUUUAGUAAGUAUUAACAUUGAUCUUUUCAUCAGCUUUGUAGAAUUUUAUAGGCAUUUUCUUUCCAUCGGAAGCCACAACACCCGAAGCCAUAACUUGAGCUGGAUGUUUUGUUUUGAAUGUCGAUUUUGUGAUAAAUCUGUCAUUUGAAAGCUAAAACAAUGCGAUGUGUUUUUAUUCCGUUUCUGACAUCUUCAAUGUCACCUUUGAUCUCUUGGAUGUUAUUAUUGCAAAAUAUUUGCCAACCAAUACGGAGAGCAUUUUUGGAGGAUUUUGGAUAAAAUUAAGCCAUGUCAAUACCUGGUUUCUCUGAGUCUUUUAGUAAGUAUUAACAUUGAUCUUUUCAUCAGCUUUGUAGAAUUUUAUAGGAAUUUUCUUUCCAUCCGAAGCCACAACACCCGAAGCCAUAACUUGAGCUGGAUGUUUUCUCUUGAAUGUCGAUUUUGUGAUAAACCUGUCAUUUGAAGGCGAAAACAAUGCGAAGCGCACUGUGACCAGCGGUGUGUACCAACAUCUGAUAGCCUGGUCAGUCACGGUGAUAUAUAUAUAUAUAUAUAUAUAUAUAUAUAUAUAUAUAUAUAUAUAUAUAUACAUAUAUACACACACACACACACACAUACAAAGGGGUAUGUAUGAUUGUGUAUAGAAGAAUAUACUACUCAAAGGAAUUCCAACUCUGUUUUUCACAUUUUAUUUAUAAUCAUAUAAAAUAAAACAGUAAAAAGGUAUGAAACACAAUAUUAAUUGUCCAUUCUUAACGAACAAAUGAAAUAUUAAUUGUCCAUUCUUAUUGGACUAGUAUACUUUCUUGCAUUUAUGCAAUCUUCAGGUUCAUAUGGUUUUGGUGACGGUCAUGUUCAUUGGUUUCAACUGCACUAUUUUUUAGUCACCAUACGAGUUUAGACAGAGAGGACACUACAAUACAUUGGGGACACUACAACACAUUUUUUGUGUUCAUAUAUGGGCCAGUAUGAAUUAAUUGGCAUGUACAACACCGGUUAUCAUUGCCUAUAGACACAGUGAAUGGUUGGUCUUUGUUGCUAAGGCCAAACCUUGCCUUUGUUAAUAGCUUUUUCAAGCUUUUAGACUGUCUUUUACUAAGAGUUUAUAGUUUGGUCUGUAAUGAGAUCUUAAUUCCUUAUAUAUUAUGUGUGUAUAUAUAUAUAUAUAUAUAUAUGAGUGGAGAAACAAAAGAAGGGCACUCAAAUCAUUCAUUGGGAGUUACAUGUGUGGAUCAAAUUUGUUUCAUUUAGUUUCCUUUGUACUUCGAGUUUCAAAGCUUGAUGCUAAUUGUUAGCCCUUGGAAAUUUCUAAGAUUAGCGUCAUGUUUUGAAACUUGAAGUACCAAGAAAUUUGAAUAAAAUUGUUUUCAUCCCCUUAUAUAUAUAUUUGCUGUUUUUAAAUAAAUGUCCAGUUCCUUUGGUUUGUGUCUAUGUUUCCGUUUCUCUUUGUGUUCGACGUCCCUUUGGUGUCCUGUACUCAUAUAUGCGUGUAUAUAUGUACAUGUAGAGGUAGGUACGUACAUAUAUGUUUAUAUAUAUGCAUAUGUUUUAUUUCAUUUAUUAAUAUAUAUAUAUAUAUAAAUUAGAGAUAAAGCCACUAUUAGGCAACUCAAACAGUG